Molecule: ribosomal RNA, 451 nt
Filed under: uncultured bacterium
Lineage: Bacteria
Description: bacterial SSU rRNA
Rfam family: Bacterial small subunit ribosomal RNA
Source: RNAcentral
UACGGGAGGCAGCAGUGGGGAAUAUUGCACAAUGGGCGCAAGCCUGAUGCAGCCAUGCCGCGUGUAUGAAAAAGGCCUUCGGGUUGUAAAGUACUUUCAGUCGUGAGGAAGGUGUUAAGGUUAAUAACCUUAGCAAUUGACGUUAGCGACAGAAGAAGCACCGGCUAACUCCGUGCCAGCAGCCGCGGUAAUACGAAGGGUGCGAGCGUUAAUCGGAAUUACUGGGCGUAAAGGGCACGCAGGCGGUUAAUUAAGUUGGAUGUGAAAUCCCCGGGCUUAACCUGGGAAUGGCAUUCAAGACUGGUUAGCUAGAGUCUUGUAGAGGGGGUAGAAUUCCAUGUGUAGCGGUGAAAUGCGUAGAGAUGUGGAGGAAUACCGGUGGCGAAGGCGGCCCCUGGACAAAGACUGACGCUCAUGUGCGAAAGCGUGGGGAGCAAACAGGGAUUAGAUA